GGUAGAUUGACAGAGGGGAAAUGUGCUAGGUUGCUAACCUAAGGCGCUCGCAAGGGUACAAGAGUUCGAAUCUCUUAUCUACCGCCA
This 87-nucleotide transfer RNA is filed under the name Aureispira sp. Its description in RNAcentral is "tRNA-Ser". It matches the Rfam family "tRNA". Rfam says of the family: Transfer RNA (tRNA) molecules are approximately 80 nucleotides in length. Their secondary structure includes four short double-helical elements and three loops (D, anti-codon, and T loops). RNAcentral also lists the same sequence under 1 other name. Lineage: Bacteria; Pseudomonadati; Bacteroidota; Saprospiria; Saprospirales; Saprospiraceae. The record is from RNAcentral.